Molecule: non-coding RNA, 134 nt
Organism: Caenorhabditis elegans
Lineage: Eukaryota; Metazoa; Nematoda; Chromadorea; Rhabditida; Rhabditidae
Source: Ensembl
CUUUUUCAGGCGGCAGGAGAAAAAAAGAAGGAAAUAUUGAAGAAAGAUGAAAAGAAAAAGAGACAAGCUUUGAGACUGGGGCAGACAUAUAGACAUACUCCUCACGCCCUCUUUCCCUUUUUCUCUUCACUCUC